AAAGCAUACUUUAAAAAGAUUAUUGAAUCUAAUCAAUAUGUAAUAGUGAAAAAAGAUAUUUUUGUGGGGAAGGGGUAUGUAUGUGAUAUGAUGUUUAAGUUGAAUGUUCAAAUGAAUAAAACUUCUACUUCUGCUUAUAUGUUUUCGUCUACUAAUUUUCUUGGCAUGCUCGUUUGUGUCAUAUUAAUGAUCGUUAUGUUAGAAUCAUGAGUAGUUUAGGUUUAAUCCCAAAGUGUUAGGCUUGUAGUAAAACCAGUAUCACUAAAAGAACUCAUUUUCAAGUUGAAACAAAAACUGAUUUGUAAGAAUUAGUUCAUACUGAUAUUUGUGAACUUGGUGGAAUUCUAACUCGUGGAGGUAAUAGAUAUUUUAUCACUUUUAUUGAUGAUUUUUCUAAGUUAACAUAUGUUUACUUGAUGAAAAAUAAAUGUGAUGCUUUUGCAAAUUUUAAAACUUAUCUCCAUGCUUAUUGAGUCAUAUGUACCUUUAAAUUUUUGGGGUGAAGCUAUCUAAACUUCUUGUUAUGUAUUGAAUCAUGUGCUAAAAAAAAGUCAAAACUAACACCUUUUGAAUUGUGUAAAGGUUACAAGACAUGUUUGAAUAUCUAACAGUUUGGGGUUGUCUAGCCUUUGUGAGGCCAAUGGAUCCCGAGAUUACAAAGUUGGAUCCUCUUACGAAGGCCUUAACAAGAGAAAAGGUCUGAAGCACAUCGAGGGGGAUGAGAUUGAAGUCUACAAAUCCUUGAGUCAUAAAUGACGAAACUCAACCUGGGGACUAGAGAUCCUACAACCAGGUUCAAAGGAAAAAAACUAAUCAUAUGAUGACUUGUUGUGAAAAAUGCAAUAUCAUUUUAUUCCUUCCCUAUGAUGUGGGUGCAUUAUUUCUUGUACUUUGUGAAGGUUGAGUUGAUAGAACUCUUAAUGAAUAUCUUUAUCCCAUAUGGGUGGAGUAUUAAACUUACAGGAGCACUCUCAACAGAUUUCACCUAUGUGAUGUGUGGAAGUAGGUCGCUUCCUAUGAGAAUGUGGCUUAUUCUCAGAUGAACUCAUGAAACUGGGAUAUCACAUGACCAUAACAUGCUGGCUGUUAAAGCUCAAGUCAAUACCUUUAUUAUUAUGUGUGAGCAGUGAUAUUUAAAGUCUGAGACCACUACGACUUUGGAAUAAAAGUUACUGUUUCACUAAGUGAAGAUUCAAUGCAGAUCACAACUUCAUUAUGCAUAGUAGUCUUCCUUUAACUGAUAUACUCUCUUCUCUAAAUAUUAAAAUGAAUGGGGGACUGUUAGUGUAGGGGGGUUUUAAUAUUUAAAAAAAUGUGCAUAUAUAGAUUCUCAUAUUGACCAUUUCUUUGUUUCAUUUACACGUACGCUUGUGGAUAUUCACUGGCAUAAUGUGGGAGUAACGACAUUAAUCUAUUGGAGUUAGUGCCAUAAGCAUUAGUACAUUUCUCAUUGUCAUAUGCAUUUCUGUUAUGCAUUUCUCAAUGUCAUUUGUAUUGCAGUUAUGCGAAAUGCCUUUGAUGGCAUUAGUCGUUGAUGACAUUUGUGCUGACUUCAUUGUCACUCUCAAUUGCUCUAUUAACUUAUGUAACUCCUAAGAUCAUUAUGUACACUAUUUACUACAUCAUAAUUUUUCUAUUCAUUGCUAGGAAGACAUCUCCAACUAUAAAUAGUGGUGGUCUUCAUUUGGUUUGAGAUACACAAUACACAAGAGAAAAAACAUAGAGUGAAAGUAUAGUCUAGAAGAGAGUUCUUAUUAGUUGAAGGGAGGUGUUCUUUUUGUGGAGAUUUGGAGUCAAAUUUUGUCCAGGGUUGUUGAGUUAUAAUUUGUGAAGGCUGUUGUAUCCUGGAGGGGACAAGUCAAAGAGGACUACUGCUUGACCGGUGAAAACAUUUGCUGCAGUGGACUUGAAUCUCCUUAAAGAUAGCAAGAUAUCCGCGCCUCAGUCUUGAAGAUAUUUAUUUUCUUCAUUUUUAUUUUCAAUUGUAAUCUUCUAAUUUUUUUUGUUAUCUAGUAUGUUUUUCACUAACAAAAAGAUUCAACCUUUCGCUUCAAAUACCAAAAUUUUGGUCUUUUCCACAA
Non-coding RNA from Solanum lycopersicum (tomato), 2081 nucleotides. Lineage: Eukaryota; Viridiplantae; Streptophyta; Magnoliopsida; Solanales; Solanaceae. The record is from RefSeq and is a predicted model, not a curated record.